Molecule: long non-coding RNA, 333 nt
Filed under: Mytilus galloprovincialis (Mediterranean mussel)
Lineage: Eukaryota; Metazoa; Mollusca; Bivalvia; Mytilida; Mytilidae
Source: RNAcentral
AUUUUCCAGUUUUCGGACAAUUAUAACUCAAUAACGCUUUCAUCAAUUCUCAUACAACUUUGAUAAAUUGUUUAUAUCUGUUGAUGUAAAUACCCUUUUGAUUUUCAUAAAUUUCUAAUAUGACAUUGAGAAGUAAUCAAUCUCUCUGAAUUUGUACCACACAAGUCCAUAUCACAAAUGAAAGGCUGAAAUUGAUUUAAGGGGUACAUGUACUUGCUCAAAACGUUCAGGAAUUAAUAGGGGCCUCAAACAAGCAUUUUACUAAAUUUACUUUUUUAGAAUAACUUGUGUUUAAGUGUAUGGAUCUAUCUAAAAUUGUAUUACAGAGGGGAG